RNAcentral lists this ribosomal RNA (607 nucleotides) under uncultured bacterium. RNAcentral's name for it is "bacterial SSU rRNA". It matches the Rfam family "Bacterial small subunit ribosomal RNA", at positions 126 to 747 of the family's 1533-position model. The record is from RNAcentral.
UUGCCUCUUGGUCUGGGACAACUGUUGGAAACGACAGCUAAUACCGGAUAUUAUGAGAUUCUCGCAUGGGAAACUUAUGAAAGCUAUAUGCGCCAAGAGAGAGCCUUGCGUUCCAUUAGCUAGUUGGUGGGGUAACGGCCCACCAAGGCGACGAUGGAUAGCCGGCCUGAGAGGGUGAACGGCCACAAGGGGACUGAGACACGGCCCUUACUCCUACGGGAGGCAGCAGUGGGGAAUAUUGGACAAUGGGCCACAAGCCUGAUCCAGCAAUUCUGUGUGCACGAUGAAGGUCUUCGGAUUGUAAAGUGCUUUCAGUUGGGAAGAAGAAAGUGACGGUACCAACAGAAGAAGCGACGGCUAAAUACGUGCCAGCAGCCGCGGUAAUACGUAUGUCGCAAGCGUUAUCCGGAUUUAUUGGGCGUAAAGCGCGUCUAGGCGGAAAAAUAAGUCUGAUGUUAAAAUGCGGGGCUCAACUCCGUAUUGCGUUGGAAACUGUUUUUCUAGAGUACUGGAGAGGUGGGCGGAACUACAAGUGUAGAGGUGAAAUUCGUAGAUAUUUGUAGGAAUGCCGAUGGAGAAGUCAGCUCACUGGACAGAUACUGACGCU